This 411-nucleotide ribosomal RNA is filed under the name uncultured bacterium. RNAcentral's name for it is "bacterial SSU rRNA". It matches the Rfam family "Bacterial small subunit ribosomal RNA", at positions 355 to 776 of the family's 1533-position model. The record is from RNAcentral.
UGGGGAAUAUUGCACAAUGGGCGCAAGCCUGAUGCAGCAACGCCGCGUGAGGGACGACGGCCUUCGGGUUGUAAACCUCUUUUAGUUGGGAAGAAGCCUUCGGGUGACGGUACCUUCAGAAAAAGCACCGGCUAACUACGUGCCAGCAGCCGCGGUAAUACGUAGGGUGCAAGCGUUAUCCGGAAUUAUUGGGCGUAAAGAGCUCGUAGGCGGUUUGUCACGUCUGCUGUGAAAACUGGAGGCUCAACUUCCAGCUUGCAGUGGGUACGGGCAGACUUGAGUGCGGUAGGGGAGAUUGGAAUUCCUGGUGUAGCGGUGGAAUGCGCAGAUAUCAGGAGGAACACCGAUGGCGAAGGCAGAUCUCUGGGCCGUAACUGACGCUGAGGAGCGAAAGAGUGGGGAGCAAACAGG